CACCGCGAGGUGGAAUCUGAAGGAAGAGGAAAGCAAACCUCUGGCCUGACGAACAGAAAUCACAUAAAAGGCUGUAAAUGAGGAUAAGGCUGCUGAACAAGUCAAAGUCCAAAAGCUACGCGGAAUCAUUUGCAGUAGAUGUGGCAGGUAGAUGGAGGGAAAGACU
This 166-nucleotide non-coding RNA is filed under the name human gut metagenome. The record is from RNAcentral.